Molecule: ribosomal RNA, 517 nt
Filed under: uncultured bacterium
Lineage: Bacteria
Description: bacterial SSU rRNA
Rfam family: Bacterial small subunit ribosomal RNA
Source: RNAcentral
GAGUUUGAUCCUGGCUCAGGAUGAACGCUGGCGGCGUGCUUAACACAUGCAAGUCGAGCGAAGCACUUAAGUCUGAUUCUUCAGAUGAAGACUUUUGUGACUGAGCGGCGGACGGGUGAGUAACGCGUGGGUAACCUGCCUCAUACAGGGGGAUAACAGUUAGAAAUGACUGCUAAUACCGCAUAAGACCACGGUACCGCAUGGUACAGUGGUAAAAACUCCGGUGGUAUGAGAUGGACCCGCGUCUGAUUAGGUAGUUGGUGGGGUAACGGCCUACCAAGCCGACGAUCAGUAGCCGACCUGAGAGGGUGACCGGCCACAUUGGGACUGAGACACGGCCCAGACUCCUACGGGAGGCAGCAGUGGGGAAUAUUGCACAAUGGAGGAAACUCUGAUGCAGCGACGCCGCGUGAAGGAUGAAGUAUUUCGGUAUGUAAACUUCUAUCAGCAGGGAAGAAAAUGACGGUACCUGACUAAGAAGCCCCGGCUAACUACGUGCCAGCAGCCGCGGUAAUUC